Arachis ipaensis is the source of this 194-nucleotide non-coding RNA. The record is from RefSeq and is a predicted model, not a curated record. Lineage: Eukaryota; Viridiplantae; Streptophyta; Magnoliopsida; Fabales; Fabaceae.
UCUUUGUGUUCUUUUAUAGGAUCAAUAGCCGAGCUUACAUGUAGCGAUUGAGGCUGUUUCUGCUUUUGGGAAAGCAAGCGGAGCAGAGGCUUCAGUUGCCGCUGAUUUUGGGCUGAGAGAAACGAGUUCAGUUGACGCGUUUGGAUUAUGGUUUCGCGUGUCAAGAAACCGAAUGAAGAAGCGUUAAGAAGAGU